AAACAUGGCUUUUUGAUUAUAAUUUAAAGUCUGGCCUGCCCACUGAGUAUUUAAAUGGCUGCGGUACUUUGACCGUGCAAAGGUAGCAUAAUCAUUAGUUUUUUAAUUGAAAGCUGGUAUGAAAGGUCGGAUGAGAAAAUAACUGUCUCUAUUUAAAUUUUUUAGAAUUUUAUUUUUAAGUAAAAAAGCUUAAAUAUUAAUAGAAGACGAGAAGACCCUAUAGAGUUUUAUUAAAAUUUUUUUUUAAGAGUAUUGGUAUAUAAAAUUUUAUAGGAAAUUUUAAUUUGGUUGGGGUGAUCAAAAAAUUAAAUAAACUUUUUUUUUAUUAAAACAUUUAUUUAUGAAUAUUUGAUCCUUUAAUUAAGAUUAUAAGAUUAAAUUACCUUAGGGAUAACAGCGUAAUUUUUCUAGAGAGUUCAAAUCGAAAGAAAAGUUUGCGACCUCGAUGUUGGAUUAAAAUAAAAUUUUGGUGUANAAGCUAAAGUAUUUAGGUCUGUUCGACCUUUAAAAUUUUACUUGAUCUGAGUUC
RNAcentral lists this ribosomal RNA (529 nucleotides) under Naupactus aff. peruvianus AM-2018. Its description in RNAcentral is "partial 16S ribosomal RNA". It matches the Rfam family "Bacterial large subunit ribosomal RNA", at positions 1811 to 2612 of the family's 2925-position model. The record is from RNAcentral. Lineage: Eukaryota; Metazoa; Arthropoda; Insecta; Coleoptera; Curculionidae.